Molecule: ribosomal RNA, 615 nt
Filed under: Lissopterus sp. LIM2
Lineage: Eukaryota; Metazoa; Arthropoda; Insecta; Coleoptera; Carabidae
Description: partial 16S ribosomal RNA
Rfam family: Bacterial large subunit ribosomal RNA
Source: RNAcentral
AGGUCUGACCUGCCCACUGAAAUUAUUUUAAAUGGCCGCAGUAAUUUGACUGUGCAAAGGUAGCAUAAUCAUUAGUUUUUUAAUUAAAAGCUUGUAUGAAGGGUUGGACGAGAUAAAAUCUGUCUCUAUUUAAUUUAAUAUAAAAUUUAAUUUUUAAGUUAAAAAGCUUAAAUUUUUUUAAAAGACGAGAAGACCCUAUAGAUCUUUAUAGUUUUGAUUUUGAAUUUAAUUAAUAAAUUUUUAUGAUUUAUAAUUUAAACUAUUUUAUUGGGGUAAUAGAAAGAUUAAAAUAAUUCUUUUUUUCUUUAAACAUUUAUUUAUGUUUUUAAUGAUCCAAUUUUAUUGAUUAUAAGAUUAAGUUACCUUAGGGAUAACAGCGUAAUUUUUUUAGAGAGUUCUUAUCGAUAAAAAAGUUUGCGACCUCGAUGUUGGAUUAAAGAUUAGUUUAGGUGUAGAAGUUUAAAUUUUUGGUCUGUUCGACCAUUAAAUCUUUACAUGAUCUGAGUUCAGACCGGCGUAAGCCAGGUCGGUUUCUAUCUUUAAUAAUUUUAAAAUAUUUUAGUACGAAAGGACCAAAUAUUUAAUAUAUUUAUAUUUAAUUUUUUGAAUAUUAUU